GUGGGGAAUAUUGGGCAAUGGGCGAAAGCCUGACCCAGCAACGCCGCGUGAGGGAAGAAGGUCUUCGGAUUGUAAACCUCUGUCCUUGGGGACGAAAAAAAUGACGGUACCCAAGGAGGAAGCCCCGGCUAACUACGUGCCAGCAGCCGCGGUAAUACGUAGGGGGCAAGCGUUGUCCGGAAUUACUGGGCGUAAAGGGUGCGUAGGCGGUUGCCUAAGUCAGAUGUGAAAUCCCCGGGCUUAACUCGGGUGGUGCAUUUGAAACUGGGCGGCUAGAGUGCAGGAGAGGGAAGCGGAAUUCCUAGUGUAGCGGUGAAAUGCGUAGAUAUUAGGAGGAACACCAGUGGCGAAGGCGGCUUUCUGGACUGUAACUGACGCUGAGGCACGAAAGCGUGGGGAGCAAACAGGAUUAGAUACCCGAGUAGUCC
RNAcentral lists this ribosomal RNA (428 nucleotides) under uncultured bacterium. Its description in RNAcentral is "bacterial SSU rRNA". It matches the Rfam family "Bacterial small subunit ribosomal RNA", at positions 354 to 796 of the family's 1533-position model. The record is from RNAcentral.